Molecule: long non-coding RNA, 533 nt
Filed under: Lotus japonicus
Lineage: Eukaryota; Viridiplantae; Streptophyta; Magnoliopsida; Fabales; Fabaceae
Description: long non-coding RNA (LJAP_LNC000934)
Source: RNAcentral
GUUUUCAUAUGCACGAUGAUGGUGGAUCACCUUUCGCGGCUGAAGCUAUGACCCUCCGGGGAUAGACUACGAAGAGCUCGUUUCUCUCGCUAAUGAUUCUAACGGCGACAUAAUUCGGGUCCAUCCUCAAGCUUAUAUUAUUCGUGACAUUAAGCUUCUUCUGGGCUUGGACUGGCGAGUUGAGCUUUCUUGGAUUCCCUGUGAUGCUAAUGCAGCAGCUCAUUGGUUGGCCAAGCAGGGUGCUCAUUCAUCCCUUCCUGGGCUACAAUUGGUGACUAAUGUUGCUCCUGAGUUAGAGUGGCUGAUCUUUAAGGAUGCCUUAAUUGUUCCUUAGUUUUUUGUUGUUCUGUUGUUAAUUUUUCAAAGCACCAACAAAAAAUAUUCAUGUUAUUUUGAUACUUUAAAAUAAAAUUUUAUUUUUGUAUUUCCUUUAAUUUUAUGGGCGAAUAGACGAACCAAACAACCUUUAAACAUGGCUAAGUUUCAGAACCAGCCCCGACUGUCCUUAUUUUUUAUAGGUUGAGAGCAAGACA